GACGAACGCUGGCGGCGUGCUUAACACAUGCAAGUAGAACGGAAAGGCCCUGCUUUUGUGGGGUGCUCGAGUGGCGAACGGGUGAGUAACACGUGAGUAACCUGCCCUUGACUUUGGGAUAACUUCAGGAAACUGGGGCUAAUACCGGAUAGGAGCUCCUGCUGCAUGGUGGGGGUUGGAAAGUUUCGGCGGUUGGGGAUGGACUCGCGGCUUAUCAGCUUGUUGGUGGGGUAGUGGCUUACCAAGGCUUUGACGGGUAGCCGGCCUGAGAGGGUGACCGGCCACAUUGGGACUGAGAUACGGCCCAGACUCCUACGGGAGGCAGCAGUGGGGAAUAUUGCACGAUGGGCGGAAGCCUGAUGCAGCAACGCCGCGUGCGGGAUGACGGCCUUCGGGUUGUAAACCGCUUUCGCCUGUGACGAAGCGUGAGUGACGGUAAUGGGUAAAGAAGCACCGGCUAACUACGUG
This 468-nucleotide ribosomal RNA is filed under the name uncultured bacterium. RNAcentral describes it as "partial 16S ribosomal RNA". It matches the Rfam family "Bacterial small subunit ribosomal RNA", at positions 28 to 507 of the family's 1533-position model. The record is from RNAcentral.